AUGCCGACAAAGAGAGGGUGGUUCAAAGUGCACUAUCUGUUCUGAUCAGCUUAAUAUUAUCAGAUACGCUCUAUAUUUGGGUCUAACAUAUUAAACUCAUUUUUGCAAGUUGGCGGUUUGCGUAAAAGCCUGCUUCUCCUCCGUCGCUGGUCCGUCUGCUAAUGAACUAUCUUCAAUAUCGACCCACGUAUC
Dermacentor andersoni is the source of this 192-nucleotide small nuclear RNA. RefSeq annotates it as U2 spliceosomal RNA. The record is from RefSeq and is a predicted model, not a curated record. Lineage: Eukaryota; Metazoa; Arthropoda; Arachnida; Ixodida; Ixodidae.